RNAcentral lists this small RNA (78 nucleotides) under Flavobacterium sp. 81. RNAcentral's name for it is "Flavo-1 RNA". It matches the Rfam family "Flavo-1 RNA". The record is from RNAcentral. Lineage: Bacteria; Pseudomonadati; Bacteroidota; Flavobacteriia; Flavobacteriales; Flavobacteriaceae. RNAcentral also lists the same sequence under 1 other name.
AUCUAGCCCCGAUAGAAGUGAAAAUCCUUUUGUAGCGGGGUUCGCAACAAAAGAUUGAAAUGAAUAGCGGGACAAAUG